CUUGGAAUUCAUUUUCUUUCCAUGUAAUUUUCCUACUUGUAAUCAAACGCACCCUUAGAAAAAUCUGACAUGGAAUUUGUUUGGGAACUUUUUAGUCACAAAUCUAUUGUGAACAUUUUAAAAAAAUUGGAAACAUUGUUAUAAAUUUUGAAUUUACAAAUGGUUGUCGCUAAUCUAUUGCUAUACUUCGUACUUAUUUAAACAAAAUUAUUUGGCCUUUUGUUGCUAUUUCACAUACAUUGUUGAAAUCUUUAGUAAUUUUAAAAUCUUUUACACGCCGGCCCCAAUUUGAAUAUGUUUCUUGGACAGCUUCCCAAACUUCCUUAACAUGUAACUGUGUCCUGUUUCCGACUCCAUCGAGUUAGAUCAACCAUGCGAUUAACAUAAAAUUCUCAGCAUCCCAUGUGUUGUAACUGGAUUCUCUCUCCUUCCAUUGGAGUUUUCACAGAUGACAGAACCAUUAAGAUAAUACUCCUCAAAAAUAUUUUUACAGCUUGAGACCAUUAUAAAAAAUUGUGGCCAUUCAAUCGAUAAGUAGUAAUUUGAAGAGUAUUGAUAGAAGCAUAAUUUUCUUCUUUGCUGGUAGUUGCCGUAACGACAAGACUUAUCUUUAUUGUCCUCCAAGUCGAACGGCGUUUUAACCGAAAGAACUUCUUGUGCAAUUCAUGAUUUCAAUGUCACCGGAAAGAAGAGACUGCAUCAUACUGCAAUUCCCCAAGUUCAGGAUUUUAAUGUCGAUUGCCUUUUCCAUGGAACAAUGCCUCUGCUAAAGAAAGGAAGAAAGAUCAAAACGGGCAAUCCAAAAAAAACAUGUCAUUUAAAAAUUAGAUAAACGACCCAAAACGUGCAAUCCAAAAACAUCAUGUUAUUUUUAAAUAACUUAGCGAGACAGUUAUUUAAAAAUUAGAUAAAGGACCCAAAAUGCCCCAAAAUCUUAUAACUCAACAUAUUAAUAUAAUCAAAUCACUACUGGAGGGGCUUGAGAGUAAUUAUAACAUGUGAUGUGCAGUGAGAGGUAUUAUCCCCAAUUCUUUGGAAUAAAUCCAUACAUAAAAUAUUAUAAAUCCAUAUAUAUAGUUAUUUAAAAAUUAAAUAAAGGAAAGCAACAACCAUAUUUAGAGGUCCUCAUAAGUAUUGGACUGGAAACCAGGAAGCACAAUUCAAUUCAUUUUACCAACCAAAUUUAGUGUUCUCGUGAAGUAUUGAAUUCAAUGGACCCACCAAUUCAGAGAAUUUAUUCUUAUUUUAGCCCCUUUCUUUUGUCCUUUGUCCUUACCCACGAGAAACACUUUCUCACGGUUCAAGGAAAAACUUUGUAUCCUUUACUUUUAUCUAUAUUUUCCUUUUCACCACAAGAAUAUUCUCUAUUGACCAAAAGUAGCAACCUUUAUUGACCAAGAAUAGUUCAGUAUCAUUUGCUAAUUUUGAUUGCAAAAAUCCAAGUUCAGGAUUUUAAUGUCACCGAAAAGAAGAGACUGCAAUUCAAAAACAACUCAGAGACACAUAGUUUUUUAAAAUUAAAUAAAGGAAACAUGAAGCAAGAUAUAGAAGAAAAAAUCGUACUACCUCAUCNAUAAUUUU
This 1581-nucleotide long non-coding RNA is filed under the name Olea europaea subsp. europaea. Lineage: Eukaryota; Viridiplantae; Streptophyta; Magnoliopsida; Lamiales; Oleaceae. The record is from RNAcentral.